Molecule: non-coding RNA, 516 nt
Organism: Arvicanthis niloticus (Nile rat)
Lineage: Eukaryota; Metazoa; Chordata; Mammalia; Rodentia; Muridae
Source: the annotation of a RefSeq genome assembly
AUGAAAAUGAAGGUCUCUGCUCAAUUCCUGGGGCUAAUGAUGCUCUUGCUUCCAAGUGCCAGAUGUGAUGUUCAGGUUACCCAGUCUCCAUCCUUCCUGUCUGCAUCUCUGGGAGACAGAAUCACUCUCACUUGUAGAGCAAGUCAGAAUAUUAACAACAAGAUGGCUUGGUACCAACAGAAACCAGGGGAAGUUCCUAAGCUCCUGAUCUAUUAUGCAUCAACUUUACAAUCAGGAAUUCCCUCCAGGUUUAGUGGCAGUGGGUCAGGAACAGAUUUUUCUUUUACCAUUAGCAGCCUGGAACCUGAAGAUACAGCAACUUAUUACUGUCUACAAAGCAACAGUUUUCUUGAGACAUUUUUGUAUGUAUUUGUUUAUAUUUAUGUCUAUCUUAAAGAUUCAACCACAUAUUACUGGCCUGUGUCUAUAAUUUUACUUUAUGACCCCCAAUAUCUCUUGUUCUAUUUUGCUCUGGAAGCAGCCGCCUCUCAGCAAGAAGAGAUUUGUUGGUUAUAG